This 465-nucleotide ribosomal RNA is filed under the name Escherichia coli. RNAcentral describes it as "bacterial SSU rRNA". It matches the Rfam family "Bacterial small subunit ribosomal RNA", at positions 1 to 460 of the family's 1533-position model. The record is from RNAcentral. Lineage: Bacteria; Pseudomonadati; Pseudomonadota; Gammaproteobacteria; Enterobacterales; Enterobacteriaceae.
UUAAAUUGAAGAGUUUGAUCAUGGCUCAGAUUGAACGCUGGCGGCAGGCCUAACACAUGCAAGUCGAACGGUAACAGGAAGAAGCUUGCUUCUUUGCUGACGAGUGGCGGACGGGUGAGUAAUGUCUGGGAAACUGCCUGAUGGAGGGGGAUAACUACUGGAAACGGUAGCUAAUACCGCAUAACGUCGCAAGACCAAAGAGGGGGACCUUCGGGCCUCUUGCCAUCGGAUGUGCCCAGAUGGGAUUAGCUAGUAGGUGGGGUAACGGCUCACCUAGGCGACGAUCCCUAGCUGGUCUGAGAGGAUGACCAGCCACACUGGAACUGAGACACGGUCCAGACUCCUACGGGAGGCAGCAGUGGGGAAUAUUGCACAAUGGGCGCAAGCCUGAUGCAGCCAUGCCGCGUGUAUGAAGAAGGCCUUCGGGUUGUAAAGUACUUUCAGCGGGGAGGAAGGGAGUAAAGU